CACACACACACACACACACAUAGGUAUAGGUAAAUUGAAACUGCUCAAAGGCACUUUCAGAUUGCAAGAGUGUUGGGCUAGGACACCUAGAUCAGAAGUUUCUAAGUGGCCCCCGAGAGAAGAUCAUUGUGCUUUGCUGGCCCAGUAUUUGUUCUGUUCCCUAUUGUGUUUGCAGAGGUGCCCAGUGGCAGCAGACUUUGUAAAGAACAGCUGCUGGAUGAAGCAAUUAUUCCUGGAACUUCCAAGUCGUAACCUCAGAUCCACAGGACCUGAAAAUCUGCCAUGGAUACACCGGGCCAGCAGUGAUGAAGGUCUCCAUAUUCCUAUAGGCAAAACCCUCUGCCUUGGUCCACCUGGAAGUACAGCCUGUCUGUCAGCUCAACCCACCAUGCUACAUCUUCAAGCAUCCCAGCUUUCCUAAGCCAAAGAAUUACCAAGAACAUAUUGGUAUCAGCAUACAGAGGUGUGUUGGUAUGAAUGUGUCCUAGAAAUGGAGGAAACCCACAAAGGAGGAACGGGAUGGCACGUGUGCACGCUACUGCAGGAGGUGAGAGUUCAUCUCAGCAUGCAAGAUCCUCCUGGAGCCCUGCUGCACUUGGAAUCUCCUGCAUGCCCCAACCUCUGGAUGAUGAUUCUGCAAAGUAGUCAACUGAAGGCAAUUCCAGAAAGAACUGCAGUGU
Molecule: small RNA, 680 nt
Filed under: Rattus norvegicus (Norway rat)
Lineage: Eukaryota; Metazoa; Chordata; Mammalia; Rodentia; Muridae
Description: uncharacterized LOC103691162
Source: RNAcentral